This 244-nucleotide unclassified non-coding RNA is filed under the name uncultured fungus. RNAcentral describes it as "partial contains 5.8S ribosomal RNA, internal transcribed spacer 2, and large subunit ribosomal RNA". Lineage: Eukaryota; Fungi. The record is from RNAcentral.
AACGCACAUUGCGCCCGCCAGUAGCCUGGCGGGCAUGCCCGUUCGAGCGUCAUUUCCACCCCUCAGGCCCCGCCUGGUGUUGGGGGUCUGCCGACACGGCAGCUCCCGAAAGACAGCGGCGGCACGGCCCGCGCGCCCUGGCGAAGUUACAAACGCCGCCUGGGACGCGUAGGAAGCGCCUGCCGGAAAACCACCAAAUUUACAGGUUGACCUCGGAUCGGGUAGGAAUACCCGCUGAACUUAA